Cyprinodon variegatus (sheepshead minnow) is the source of this 418-nucleotide long non-coding RNA. RefSeq lists it as uncharacterized. The record is from RefSeq and is a predicted model, not a curated record. The transcript is spliced from 3 exons. NCBI's taxonomy places the organism in Eukaryota, Metazoa, Chordata, Actinopteri, Cyprinodontiformes, Cyprinodontidae.
UUCUCCACCUUCAUUGGAGCAACAUCUGAUUUCCUUCAACAAAAAUCUAAAAAAGUAAAUAUUUGGCUUUAGAUGAUUUUCUCUAAAUGUUUGUUUUUAUCCUCUUUAUUUCUGCGUUUUUCGGUCUAAAGGUUUCACUGUUUUAACAGCAGGAGAAUCUCAUUGGUUCCCUUCCUCAACAUUAUCCAACAAAAUCCAACAUCCUCUGCAGCAGGGAGCUGAGAGACACAAAUACGAAGCUGGGAUGGCGAAGAAUCCCACCAGGAGGAGCAGCUAGAGACCAGCAGAAAAUGGUUUUUAUUUGGUUUGUUUUUGCUUUAGUUUACUCAAUUUAAUUAUUUUAUUCAAAUAAAUUGUUUAAUAAAUCCGUGAUUUAUGUUUUCUUUUAUCAUCUGCUGUAGAUUGAUGUCAAUUUUAU